CUUGCUUUUUUAUUUUGUUUAGACAAAAUUGCCAUUUGUUGGAAAGAGAUAGAUAAGACCAAAAAGAUACCAGUUUCAUUUGUUUCUUUUAAAACACAAGUUACGUUCUCAAUUAUUUAUUAAUAAAUGUCUCCCUUCUAUUCUCUCCCCUUCAGUUACAUUCCUUUUUUACUUAACUCACCUUAAACACUUAAUUUGAGAUUCAUGUGGUUAGAAAACAGAGGAUGCUAACCACAUCCCACGACGUGUACCUCUCCAUUAUUCAACCAAUAUGAUGUUGAGUGUUUUGCCAACCAAACUCAUUAUCAAAUAUCCGUGGAUGUAUGACAACUACCAUAAUACUCACGUCAUGCUCACCAACCGGAACCCCUCUCCACUAAAGUAACAACCAAAUAACAUGUAACAACAUAACAUCCAUACCACACCACACCACCUCUGACCCCAAUUAUCGUACUACCUGACCACGAUGCCGCUAC
Molecule: long non-coding RNA, 476 nt
Filed under: Brassica napus (rape)
Lineage: Eukaryota; Viridiplantae; Streptophyta; Magnoliopsida; Brassicales; Brassicaceae
Description: long non-coding RNA (BNAP_LNC026807)
Source: RNAcentral